AGUCCAGGGAUCACAGUGCACAAAACCCGAGCAUACUUCUCUCUGAGCUCUCCGUGAUGUUGAAAAAGAAGCUUCUUCAAAGAUGACCAAAUGCUUACCCUGUCUUGUGCCCAGCUCAGUGUACAGAGAAAUAACUACACUGAGAGAGAAACAAAACCAGGAAGCAGUCCCUGCCCUGAGAAGAAGCAGCCAUUAGUACACAGAGGGUAUGCUCACAUAAGAAGUAAAGCUUUCCUUUGUGGGACAUAUUUUUAUUGAAAAAUAUUUCUUCUGCUAACAGGCAUGAGAAGCAUUGGGUUGAUCAGAUGUGCCACCUUACUGACUGAUGCCUGAUGGACAUGGUAAAGGUGACCCAGAA
RNAcentral lists this long non-coding RNA (358 nucleotides) under Mus caroli (Ryukyu mouse). Its description in RNAcentral is "lncRNA (MGP_CAROLIEiJ_G0004963.1)". Lineage: Eukaryota; Metazoa; Chordata; Mammalia; Rodentia; Muridae. The record is from RNAcentral.